AUGACACCGAACAGCCCUCGGCACCCCAGGAGGGAUGAGACGGCCCACUCUCCCCCCUCGCCUGCGGCUUGGAGGCAUUGGGAGCGGCCGGUCUCCAUUGGGAUCCCGGGGCUGCGAGGGGAGGAGGGGCGGGGCAGUUCCGGUGUGCGUGUUGGGAGAGCGGCGGGAGCGCGGAGGACCUCAGGAGGGCGUCGCUGCGGGCCUCGCGGCUGGUGGGCACCUCUGCCUUCUAGGGCCACACAGAACAAAUCAGCUGUGAUGAACCAGGCCAGGCUUUGGCUCUGUCCUCUCAGGCUGGAGCAUGCACAGGGGGAUCAGCUCUGA
RNAcentral lists this long non-coding RNA (324 nucleotides) under Phascolarctos cinereus (koala). RNAcentral describes it as "lncRNA (ENSPCIG00000008275.2)". The record is from RNAcentral. Lineage: Eukaryota; Metazoa; Chordata; Mammalia; Diprotodontia; Phascolarctidae.